AGACGAACCGUCCAAACGUUAUUCGGUAUCACUGGGCUUAAAGAGUUCGUAGGCGGCCUGGUAGGUGAGAUGUGAAAUCCCACGGCUCAACCGUGGAACUGCGUUUCAAACCACCAGGCUUGAGGGAGAUAGAGGUGAGCGGAACAGAUGGUGGAGCGGUGAAAUGCGUUGAUAUUAUCUGGAACACCGGUGGCGAAAGCGGCUCACUGGAUCUCUUCUGACGCUGAGGAACGAAAGCUAGGGUAGCGAACGGGAUUAGAUACCCUAGUAGUCC
This 274-nucleotide ribosomal RNA is filed under the name uncultured bacterium. RNAcentral describes it as "partial 16S ribosomal RNA". It matches the Rfam family "Bacterial small subunit ribosomal RNA", at positions 523 to 796 of the family's 1533-position model. The record is from RNAcentral.